AUGGGCAGGGCUUGUGCGCAAGAAUACUUUCUGCGCACGCCUAUCCUUAGGCAAGGCUUACGUGUGGGACAUGUUUUCCCUUAGUCGUGUGCUCCUCAGCCUCGCGAGAUGUCAUCCGCGUAAAUCCCCGCGGGUAUGCAAGUCGCUUGUUACGAACUAUUCACCGACGAGACACCACUCACACCGACACCCAAGGCUUUGCAGGCGAGCUCUUUUCUUCCCUCUCUAGGUGUCGGUUAGCCAACUUUCCUCUUCAGUUCUGUUGGCCACACGAAGCCUCCAACAGCCUGGAUGCAUUGCAUGUAAUCCAAGGGGCCAGAGGUUCUGCGAGAGAGAGAGAGAGAGAGAGAGAGAGAGAGAGAGAGAAUGAAAGCCGAGUGUUCUGGUGCGAGUUGAAAGUAGGAAAACAAGUGUGUUAAUGAGAAACGAGUCCUCUGAGCUUCUUUUGCAAUCAGAACAGAGCCGAGCCCAACUGUUCAGAAACUGCAGAUUCAACUCAAAAACCCUACUGAUACGACAAUCGCUGCAUAGGCGUGCUGCUAGUGGUUUUUCAUGGUUUUUAGGUCGAUUACUCGUGUGUUUGGACCAUUUAGACCUUCUGCUUUGAGGUACAAGCUUAGGCGGCUGCGUACGUAGAUAUGUAAAUAAUGUAACUUAAUUAGGCCUUUGGGUCUACAUCUCAAACUCUUCAACUUUAAUUUGACAUGACUAUUCCACAUGUUUAUCUCUCAAUAUCUUAAAAGAAUCAAAACUCUUUGUAAAUACUCUUGCAGUGGCUGUUAGAUCUCUCUACCUACUAUGAAAUUUAAU
This is a long non-coding RNA of Carica papaya (papaya), 810 nucleotides long. RefSeq lists it as uncharacterized. Lineage: Eukaryota; Viridiplantae; Streptophyta; Magnoliopsida; Brassicales; Caricaceae. The record is from RefSeq and is a predicted model, not a curated record.